GGCAGAUUUUCUGUCCGAUCAAAUGCUCUCUAGAAUCUGAAGCGUCCCGCCCUCCGACGCUAUAAAAAUCCAUGGUACUGCCUGUCAAGUACGGCAUAACCCGGGCUCCGAGACCAGAUCCAGCUCUCUCUUCAGACGUUCCCCCGGAGAAGCAGAAGAUCUACAGCACGCUGACCAUCUCCGUUUCACGACUCAUGAAUCCGGAGAAACCUAGACUGAGACGGAACAAAGGAGUCCUGACAGCACCGGUCCCUGAAGAGCAGACUCGCCCGCUAACGUACACCCCGUGCCCUCCAAAUGCAUCCCACAAUCCCGUGCACAAAGACAGGAGGCAUUUUUGGAAGGAGUCUCCAGUGUCAGCGCUUCGGAACAGUCCCAGAUCUGCUCGGGCACUGCAUGAAGCCAAAGUGCAUGCAGCUGGAGGGCUUUGUUUCUCCGUCCCUCCUCCACGACUCCAUCUGAAAGGUCUUCGCAGUCAAGUGAAAAGGAGGCGAAGAAAAAAAAAAUCCUUCAAGUCACAUAAUAGCAUGCUAAUGUGAUUGUCAGGAAAUAAAACUUGAGUAUCGGAAAUUGCGCCAAAAGCUCCACCAUAAAUCGGCCCCAAAAAAGGAAAGAUGCUCCUCGUUUUAUGAAUAGCAAUAAAAAAAAAAAAAUUUUUAAAUAAAA
Long non-coding RNA from Ictalurus punctatus (channel catfish), 666 nucleotides. The record is from Ensembl. NCBI's taxonomy places the organism in Eukaryota, Metazoa, Chordata, Actinopteri, Siluriformes, Ictaluridae.